Long non-coding RNA from Populus trichocarpa (black cottonwood), 1191 nucleotides. RefSeq lists it as uncharacterized. The transcript has 2 exons. Lineage: Eukaryota; Viridiplantae; Streptophyta; Magnoliopsida; Malpighiales; Salicaceae. The record is from RefSeq and is a predicted model, not a curated record.
ACUUUCGAUAGACUAGCACAUUGAAAAAAAAAAUAUCUUGUAAAAUAUUACAGGUGAAAAAAUAAUUAAAAAAUGUAACGUAAAGAGUCGUAAUUCACAGAUGUCAUCAAUCUGCGGUUCAUAUUUCUCAUGAAACAUCUCCAGCAUCGCCAUGGAUGACCUUUUAACUCUCUCCCAUGAUCCAAGAACUUUGAUUUGCCAAAUAAUUAGCAACCCAUUCGUUGCAACCAAGCCGCCACCCCUCUUAGGAAAAAAAAUAUCACAGAUUAUAUAUAUUUUUUUCUCACCACCAUUAAUAGCCACCCGAAACUCACCCCCAUUUUUUUCUUUUCUUUCACAAAUUAGGCCAUGCUCCACCACGUUGUCGUAUGUUCCUCCUCUCAGCCAAAGUUUUACCCACCGCCAGAAUCAACUUCCCUUGUCACCAUCAAACCUCUCUCUUCACCACCAAGCAGUACUGACCAAAUCAAACCCGUAAGCUGUUGCAGCCUCUCUUCAACUAAAAACAAAAAAGAAGGCAUCUCACGAUUGAGGAAGUCGAUAUAGCCUAGGAAAAGCAAUCUAGCAACAAACACCAAUCUCGUUCAAUCGUAAGAGGAAAGCGACCGACGAAGACCGACCAACAAACACCUAUGUGGCACGAACCGAACACUGUAGCACAUGGGCAGGAGAUGAAGAGGCAGAGCUCAAACUCACGCCACCGUCAACCAGUUUCAUCCGCCAACACCAUAUGAGAAAUCAAAGUUUUUGGGUUCCGGGGGAGAGGGCCGAAAGGUCAUUCAUGGUGAUGUUGGAGAUACUUUAUGAGAAACGCGAGUUGCAGAUACAUGAUCUGGAGUCCAAAAAUUGCAACACCACCUAUCAACAGAUAAUAAACGCGAGCCAGUGUAGCUAGGUUUCCCGGUUCACCUUUUAUCCUUCCUGACCAAAUCGGGUCACACAAGUCUCACUCACAACUUCCUGGCCUCCACUGGGUGAAUGGCGAGAGGUGAUGGCAGGCCUAAGAUCUUGGGUCUCUUGAGAUUUCACUGUGCAAUUUCAGAUCUUGGAAAAUUAAAAAUCAUGCAGAAAUCAUUUGACCUUGGGCAUUAAGACAACGAGCUUCUGUUUGUUUAUGUAAAAUAUGCUUCUGUAAUAUAUGUAUUUUUUUCAUUUCCUCAUAAUCGAUUUUAUUAAGGAAAAUUUAGUCAA